Molecule: ribosomal RNA, 497 nt
Filed under: uncultured bacterium
Lineage: Bacteria
Description: partial 16S ribosomal RNA
Rfam family: Bacterial small subunit ribosomal RNA
Source: RNAcentral
GAUGAACGCUGGCGGCGUGCCUAAUACAUGCAAGUCGAGCGAACGGACGAGAAGCUUGCUUCUCUGAUGUUAGCGGCGGACGGGUGAGUAACACGUGGAUAACCUACCUAUAAGACUGGGAUAACUUCGGGAAACCGGAGCUAAUACCGGAUGAUAUUUUGAACCGCAUGGUUCAAAAGUGAAAGACGGUCUUGCUGUCACUUAUAGAUGGAUCCGCGCUGCAUUAGCUAGUUGGUAAGGUAACGGCUUACCAAGGCAACGAUGCAUAGCCGACCUGAGAGGGUGAUCGGCCACACUGGAACUGAGACACGGUCCAGACUCCUACGGGAGGCAGCAGUAGGGAAUCUUGCGCAAUGGGCGAAAGCCUGACGGAGCAACGCCGCGUGAGUGAUGAAGGUCUUCGGAUCGUAAAACUCUGUUAUUAGGGAAGAACAUAUGUGUAAGUAACUGUGCACAUCUUGACGGUACCUAAUCAGAAAGCCACGGCUAACUACGUG